This 74-nucleotide transfer RNA is filed under the name Camelus bactrianus (Bactrian camel). It matches the Rfam family "tRNA". From Rfam's summary of the family: Transfer RNA (tRNA) molecules are approximately 80 nucleotides in length. The record is from Rfam by way of RNAcentral. Lineage: Eukaryota; Metazoa; Chordata; Mammalia; Artiodactyla; Camelidae. RNAcentral also lists the same sequence under 2 other names.
GAGAGUAUAGCUCAAGAGGUAGAGUGCAUGCUUAAGAAUGCAUGAAGUCCUGGAUUCAAUCCCUAGUACCUCCU